RNAcentral lists this unclassified non-coding RNA (268 nucleotides) under fungal sp. Its description in RNAcentral is "partial internal transcribed spacer region". The stretch from base 1 to 46 matches the Rfam family "Eukaryotic small subunit ribosomal RNA", at positions 1786 to 1831 of the family's 1831-position model. The record is from RNAcentral. Lineage: Eukaryota; Fungi.
AAGUCGUAACAAGGUUUCCGUAGGUGAACCUGCGGAAGGAUCAUUAAUGAAAUUUUGCCAGUUGGUUGAUGCUGGUGGUGUCAAAACCGCAUGUGCUCGCCUCUGCAUUUUCUUGUCCAUACACCUGUGCACCUCUGAGGGAUUGGUACAGCACUUGUGGCUCGUAUCAACCUUCAUUUUACUACAAACACUAUUUUGAUAUAUGAACGUGAUUGUGCCGCAAGGCCAUAAACUUAUACAACUUUUAACAACGGAUCUCUUGGCUCUC